This 395-nucleotide ribosomal RNA is filed under the name uncultured bacterium. Its description in RNAcentral is "bacterial SSU rRNA". It matches the Rfam family "Bacterial small subunit ribosomal RNA", at positions 358 to 770 of the family's 1533-position model. The record is from RNAcentral.
GGAAUCUUAGACAAUGGGGGAAACCCUGAUCUAGCCAUGCCGCGUGAGUGACGAAGGCCCUAGGGUCGUAAAGCUCUUUCGCCAGGGAAGAUAAUGACGGUACCUGGUAAAGGAGUCCCGGCCAACUCCGUGCCAGCAGCCGCGGUAAUACGGAGGGGACUAGCGUUGUUCGGAAUUACUGGGCGUAAAGCGCGCGUAGGCGGACUAUUAAGUCAGGGGUGAAAUCCCGGGGCUCAACCCCGGAACUGCCUCUGAUACUGGUAGUCUUGAGUUCGAGGAAGGUGAGUGGAAUUCCGAGUGUAGAGGUGAAAUUCGUAGAUAUUCGGAGGAACACCAGUGGCGAAGGCGGCUCAAUGGCUCGAUACUGACGCUGAGGUGCGAAAGCGUGGGGAGCA